GUCGAGAAUAAUUCACAAUGGACGAAAGUCUGAUGGUGCAACGCCGCGUGGAGGAUGAAGGUCUUCGGAUUGUAAACUCCUGUCAUCGGGGAGUAAGACCUGGCGGUAAAUAGCCGACAGGGUUGAUAGUACCCGAAGAGGAAGGGACGGCUAACUUCGUGCCAGCAGCCGCGGUAAUACGAAGGUCCCAAGCGUUGUUCGGAAUCACUGGGCGUAAAGGGAGCGUAGGCGGCGUGGUAAGUCAGAUGUGAAAUCCCGGGGCUCAACCCCGGAACUGCAUCCGGUACUGCCAUGCUUGAGGGUUGGAGAGGUAGCUGGAAUUCUCGGUGUAGCAGUGAAAUGCGUGGAUAUCGAGAGGAACACUCGUGGCGAAGGCGAGCUACUGGACAACAUCUGACGCUGAGGCUCGAAGGCCAGGGGAGCAAAAGGGAUUAGAAACCCCUGUAGUCC
This 450-nucleotide ribosomal RNA is filed under the name uncultured bacterium. RNAcentral's name for it is "partial 16S ribosomal RNA". It matches the Rfam family "Bacterial small subunit ribosomal RNA", at positions 354 to 796 of the family's 1533-position model. The record is from RNAcentral.